Topomyia yanbarensis is the source of this 977-nucleotide long non-coding RNA. RefSeq lists it as uncharacterized. NCBI's taxonomy places the organism in Eukaryota, Metazoa, Arthropoda, Insecta, Diptera, Culicidae. The record is from RefSeq and is a predicted model, not a curated record. The transcript has 3 exons.
GGUCUUUUUCGGAGUAACGAACCAAUGAUCUCUAAAUGCGCAGGUAUCCUUCUGUUGAUCAACAGCAUGCGGCAGCUGUUCAAAUCGUAAAAUUAUUUCCACAACUUAGUAAUACGCGAGUCACACCAACUGCUCCUGAUGAGUCAUUUUUCUUUUGGCGCAACGGAGGCAAGGAAAAGGGUGCUCAUACUGGCAUGAUAUUUCAUCGCAUCCGGAAUGUCAUCAAACAGCUACCUGCAGGAAAACAUAAAUAUAAUCGAGGAACUAUGCCUGUAGAAGAGUCCGUUUCAACUGAACUUGUAGAGCGGGCUCAAUUGCUCCGAGUAAUGCUUGCAUCGGCAUCAGUAGCAGAACAUAUUUGUGAUGAAAUGGACCGAUGCUUUCCAGUCCUCAAACUGUUAUUAAAAGAAAAGAAACCCGUUAAUGAUAUCUUGGAUAUGUUUCCACACCUGUGUUCAUAUGAAGGAUUGGUGGUAACAUGUUUAUUUUUUAUUAUUUACUAUUUCACUUUAUGGUAUUCACGGAACAUAUGAAUAUUUAUAUCAUAUCACUUUUUCUAGAUUCGUCAAAUGUUUGAGAGAUUGUAUCCUAACAGAACAGAAGGUCUCAAAAUCGAGGAUGUCUUCUCUCAGUGUCUAUCUUAUUCACCGUCCAGAUUCUCUAGAGUAGAAGAUGGUGAGAUAUAUUUUUUUUUAAUUUAGCCCAAAGGUCUGUCAUAAAAUUUUAAAUUUGUAAAACUAUUCACAGAUCACAUUCGAGGAUGCUUGAGAAUAAUUUCUCAUAUGCCAAUUCGCGGACAAAAAAGAACGCUGGUAGGCUGUCCAACUGUAGGCGAAGAACAUUCGGCUUCAAUUUUAAUUCGUUGGAUUGGGGAGUGCUUAGAUACAUACGUGGCAUCCCCCGCAACUGAUUCCAAACUACACAUGGUGUGCGUAGCAAGCCCGAUGAAAAGAGGAAAUGAUGCCGUCAUUUGUGAG